GCUGUGGCUCAGUGGCAGAGCACUUGCCUAGAAUGUGCGUGCGAGGCACUGGGUUCGAUUCUCAGCACUGCA
Molecule: transfer RNA, 72 nt
Filed under: Marmota monax (woodchuck)
Lineage: Eukaryota; Metazoa; Chordata; Mammalia; Rodentia; Sciuridae
Description: tRNA.Ser
Source: RNAcentral